This 548-nucleotide ribosomal RNA is filed under the name uncultured Glomus. Its description in RNAcentral is "SSU rRNA". It matches the Rfam family "Eukaryotic small subunit ribosomal RNA", at positions 548 to 1098 of the family's 1831-position model. The record is from RNAcentral. Lineage: Eukaryota; Fungi; Glomeromycota; Glomeromycetes; Glomerales; Glomeraceae.
UUGGAGGGCAAGUCUGGUGCCAGCAGCCGCGGUAAUUCCAGCUCCAAUAGCGUAUAUUAAAGUUGUUGCAGUUAAAAAGCUCGUAGUUGAAUUUCGAGACCGGUUUAUUGGUCGUGCUUUUGUACGUACUGGUAUAAUCGGUUUCUCUCUUCUGACGAACUAUAAUGCCAUUAAUUUGGUGUUAUGGGAAAUCAGGACUGUUACUUUGAAAAAAUUAGAGUGUUUAAAGCAGGCUCACGCUUGAAUACAUUAGCAUGGAAUAACGGAAUAGGACGUUUGAUUCUAUUUUGUUGGUUUCUAGGAUCGACGUAAUGAUUAAUAGGGAUAGUUGGGGGCAUUAGUAUUCAAUUGUCAGAGGUGAAAUUCUUGGAUUUAUUGAAGACUAACUACUGCGAAAGCAUUUGCCAAGGAUGUUUUCAUUAAUCAAGAACGAAAGUUAGGGGAUCGAAGACGAUCAGAUACCGUCGUAGUCUUAACCAUAAACUAUGCCGACUAGGGAUCGGAUGAUGUUAAUUUUUUAAUGACUCAUUCGGCGCCUUACGGGAAAC